UGGGGAAUUUUCCGCAAUGGGCGCAAGCCUGACGGAGCAAUACCGCGUGAGGGAGGAAGGCUCUUGGGUCGUAAACCUCUUUUCUCAGGGAAGAACACAAUGACGGUACCUGAGGAAUCAGCAUCGGCUAACUCCGUGCCAGCAGCCGCGGUAAUACGGAGGAUGCAAGCGUUAUCCGGAAUGAUUGGGCGUAAAGCGUCCGUAGGUGGUUAUGUAAGUCUGUGGUUAAAGCGUGGGGCUCAACCCCAUAAGGGCCAUGGAAACUACAAGACUUGAGUAAAGUAGGGGUAGAGGGAAUUCCCAGUGUAGCGGUGAAAUGCGUAGAGAUUGGGAAGAACACCGGUGGCGAAAGCGCUCUACUGGACUUAAACUGACACUGAGGGACGCAAGCUAGGGGAGCGAAAGGGAUUAGAUACCCCUGUAGUC
Molecule: ribosomal RNA, 426 nt
Filed under: uncultured Chamaesiphon sp.
Lineage: Bacteria; Bacillati; Cyanobacteriota; Cyanophyceae; Gomontiellales; Chamaesiphonaceae
Description: bacterial SSU rRNA
Rfam family: Bacterial small subunit ribosomal RNA
Source: RNAcentral